GAUGAACGCUGGCGGCGUGCUUAACACAUGCCAGUCGAACGGAAAGGCCCUGCUUUUGUUGGGUGCUCGAGUGGCGAACGGGUGAGUAACACGUGAGGAUCCUGCCCUUGACUUUGGGGUAACUUCUGGGAACUGGGGCUAAUACAGGGUAGGAUCUCCUGCUGCGUGUGGGGGGUUGGUAAGUUUCGGCGGUUGUGGAUGGACUCGCGGGUUAUCAGCUUGUUGGUGAGGUAGUUGAUUACCAGGGCUUUGACGGGUAGGCCGCCUGAGAGGGUGACCGGCCUCCAUGCGACUGAGGUACGCAGCAGACGCCAACGGGACGCAGUAGUCGAGAAUCUUGCGCAAUGGCGCGACGCGAGAUGCAGCAACGCCGCGUGCGGAAUGCCGGCUUACGGGUUGUAAACCGCUUUCGACUGUGACGAAGCGUGAGUGACGGUAAUGGGUAAAGAAGCAACGGCUAACUACGUG
RNAcentral lists this ribosomal RNA (468 nucleotides) under uncultured bacterium. RNAcentral's name for it is "partial 16S ribosomal RNA". It matches the Rfam family "Bacterial small subunit ribosomal RNA", at positions 28 to 507 of the family's 1533-position model. The record is from RNAcentral.